UAGGGAAUCUUCGGCAAUGGGGGGAACCCUGACCGAGCAACGCCGCGUGAGUGAAGAAGGUUUUCGGAUCGUAAAGCUCUGUUGUUAAGGAAGAACGAGUGUGAGAAUGGAAAGUUCAUACUGUGACGGUACUUAACCAGAAAGGGACGGCUAACUACGUGCCAGCAGCCGCGGUAAUACGUAGGUCCCGAGCGUUGUCCGGAUUUAUUGGGCGUAAAGCGAGCGCAGGCGGUUAGAUAAGUCUGAAGUUAAAGGCAGUGGCUCAACCAUUGUAGGCUUUGGAAACUGUUUAACUUGAGUGCAGAAGGGGAGAGUGGAAUUCCAUGUGUAGCGGUGUAAUGCGUAGAUAUAUGGAGGAACACCGGUGGCGAAAGCGGCUCUCUGGUCUGUAACUGACGCUGAGGCUCGAAAGCGUGGGGAGCGAACAGG
This 429-nucleotide ribosomal RNA is filed under the name Bacteroidota bacterium. RNAcentral describes it as "Bacteroidetes bacterium partial 16S ribosomal RNA". It matches the Rfam family "Bacterial small subunit ribosomal RNA", at positions 355 to 776 of the family's 1533-position model. The record is from RNAcentral. Lineage: Bacteria; Pseudomonadati; Bacteroidota.